RNAcentral lists this ribosomal RNA (253 nucleotides) under uncultured prokaryote. RNAcentral's name for it is "partial 16S ribosomal RNA". It matches the Rfam family "Bacterial small subunit ribosomal RNA", at positions 524 to 776 of the family's 1533-position model. The record is from RNAcentral.
UACGUAGGGACCAAGCGUUGUUCGGAUUUACUGGGCGUAAAGGGCGCGUAGGCGGCAUGUUAAGUCAGCUGUGAAAUCUCCGAGCUUAACUCGGAACGGUCAGCUGAUACUGAUGUGCUAGAGUACAGAAGGGGCAAUCGGAAUUCUUGGUGUAGCGGUGAAAUGUGUAGAUACCAAGAGGAACACCUGAGGUGAAGACGGGUUGCUGGGCUGAUACUGACGCUGAGGCGCGAAAGCUAGGGUAGCAAACGGG